UACGUAGGGUGCGAGCGUUAAUCGGAAUUACUGGGCGUAAAGCGUGCGCAGGCGGUUCUCCAAGUCCGUUGUGAAAGCCCCGGGCUCAACCUGGGAAUGGCAGUGGAAACUAGGGGACUGGAAUCUGGCAGAGGGGGGUGGAAUGCCGCGUGUAGCAGUGAGAUGCGUAGAGAUGCGGCGGAACACCGAUGGCGAAGGCAGCCCCCUGGGCUGAGAUUGACGCUCAGGCACGAAAGCGUGGGGAGCAAACAGG
This 253-nucleotide ribosomal RNA is filed under the name uncultured bacterium. RNAcentral's name for it is "partial 16S ribosomal RNA". It matches the Rfam family "Bacterial small subunit ribosomal RNA", at positions 524 to 776 of the family's 1533-position model. The record is from RNAcentral.